This 277-nucleotide long non-coding RNA is filed under the name Nicotiana benthamiana. Its description in RNAcentral is "long non-coding RNA (NBEN_LNC019216)". The record is from RNAcentral. Lineage: Eukaryota; Viridiplantae; Streptophyta; Magnoliopsida; Solanales; Solanaceae.
GGAUUUCUUUGUAGACAUUGAAAAUUGCUUCCUCAUCAUCUACCCUCAAGAUCAUCUUUCCCUCUCUCACUUUGAUAAUUGCAUCACCAGUAGCCAAGAGAGGUCGCCCCAAUAUGAUUGUGACAAGUUAAUCAGCCUCAUAAUCGAGGAUAAUGAAAUCAGCAGGGAAGAUGAAUUUACUAAUCUGCAGCAACACAUCUUCAAUCACCACCUCGGGGUGCGUUAUCGACCUAUCAGCCAGCUUCAACAACACAGUAGAUGGCCUUGAAGCUCCCAG